UACAGAGGAGCCAAGCGUUGUCCGGAUUGACUCGGCGUAAAGCGCACGCAGGCGGUUCUGUGCGUGGGGUGUGAAAUCUGGCCGCUUAACGGCCAGGCGCCAUCCCAUACGGCAGGACUGGAGUGAUGCAGAGGUCGAUGGAAUUGCCGGUGUAGUGGUGAAAUGCGUAGAGAUCGGCAGGAACACCCAGGGGGAAACCAGUCGACUGGGCAUCUACUGACGCUGAGGUGCGAGAGCGUGGGGAGCGAACAGG
Molecule: ribosomal RNA, 253 nt
Filed under: uncultured bacterium
Lineage: Bacteria
Description: partial 16S ribosomal RNA
Rfam family: Bacterial small subunit ribosomal RNA
Source: RNAcentral